GCGCCCAUGACGAUGAGCAGCAGGAAGACGAUGAGCGGGUGCUGCUGGCUCAUGCAGUAGUAGGACUCGUACAGCCAGUCCCGGGACCGCCGCAGCCCGUCGCCGCCGCCCGCCUCCUCGGCGCGGUCCCGCAGCAAUUGAAUGAAACUGUCUUUGGGCUGGUGGUCUGCAGCCCCAACCUCUCCUUGCUGGCCCUUCUGCUCAUACCACUUGGACUGCAGACUGUAACCAGAUCAGAGAGCCGAGCCUGCUAGCUGGUGACAGUAAACAGUACUCCCAUCUGGCCUGCGUGCACAGCCUGCAGGUGCAGGCUUGAGGACAAGCAGGCAGGCUUCCCACCCAGGAGCUGCAGGCCACCUCUCCCCUCCUAAUUUGGUCAUCUUUCACACACACUGUGACACACCUGA
This is a long non-coding RNA of Rhinolophus ferrumequinum (greater horseshoe bat), 407 nucleotides long. RefSeq lists it as uncharacterized. NCBI's taxonomy places the organism in Eukaryota, Metazoa, Chordata, Mammalia, Chiroptera, Rhinolophidae. The record is from RefSeq and is a predicted model, not a curated record. The transcript is spliced from 3 exons.